Molecule: long non-coding RNA, 325 nt
Organism: Trifolium pratense (red clover)
Lineage: Eukaryota; Viridiplantae; Streptophyta; Magnoliopsida; Fabales; Fabaceae
Exons: 2
Source: RefSeq, a predicted model, not a curated record
ACAAGCUUUUAGGAAAAGAAAACCUAGCUGACACAUAUUAUAAAUAGAAAAAAAAAAAAGAAUUAUGAUUAGUCACUUCCAUAAGAAGAGAGCGCGAGAACAAAGAAGGGCUAGUGUUUGAGAGAAGAGAUCACGAGAAAAAAACAACUAGAGUUAUUAUUGUUUUCUACGUAUUCGAGAUUUUCAGGUAGGCGAACAGUUCGAGUUGCUUGAGUGUCGGAGUCGGUUAUAGGACUGUAUUCACUUUUAUUUUGGAGUCACUUUCAUUAAGAAUUUUCAGACUAUGUUAAUUUUACUCGAGACUGUUAUUCAGGGAAUUUGAAUA